UUCAACUAAAAGUUAAAUGAUAAUUUGUUUGUAUUUUUUUAAAUUAGAUAUUAAUGAAAGGACAAAAUUAUUAAUAGAUGAGAGUAAUAAUAAUCAUAACACUAAUGUGCAGAAUAAUCCUAAGAUGUUGACUAGUAAUGUUUCUGAUAAUAAUUGCGAUGAAGAAGGCAGUGAUAUAAAAUAUUUGUCUGCAGAAAUUGAAUGAAGUUUUUCGGAUUAUGACAAAGAAACUCAUCGGAUAAUAAUAUAUCUUCUCAAAAGCACAAAUCUUACUACAAGCAAAUCUUUGUUUAAAAAAGAAUGUAAUGCAAUGCAUUCAACUACUUCAUAUUUAGAGCUUAAAGUCAUUAAUUUGAAGCAAUGAUAAAGUUAUUUAACAAAAAAGAUUACAUAUAUGACUGACAUAAAUUUUUUUGUUUAUUACAUGCAGUUAUAUUUUUAUUUAUGGCGAUACAUGAUUAGUCAGGGAUCUAUAUAUAUAUAUAUAGAUUCUUCAUUUUUUAAAUUAUUUAAAAAAAAAAGUUAAAUUUUUUCCAUAUGUUUGGCAAAUGCAUCAUGUACAAAUUACAUAAAAAUUUAAAUUUUAUAUUUUCAAGUUUUAACACUAUUUUUCAUUUAUAUGUGAUUUAUGUAUACAAUUUAUGUAUACAACUAAAUACACUAUUAUGUAAUUUAUAUAUACAACUCUUAUUAUCAAAUUAUUUCAGAUAAAACUUUAUGAAGUGCAUCAUUUUUUUCUUUUUAGUCCAACGCGAUCUUUUCGUUUUUUCAUAAGGUGAUGCUAAAAAAAAAUAUAUGAGCACUUUCCAGCAAGACACAAUUUCACACAAUGGAUCAUUUCAUUCUUACUGAAUAUCAACAAAGAUAAAAUGAUCGCCUUUGUCAACUGUGUCUCAUAUUGGAAAACUUCCAAUGUAUACGUAUAAAAAUAAAUAUAGACAAAAAUUGUUAAAAUUUAGAAAUAUAUAAGAUUUAUUCAACAUUACAUUACAAUUUAUUAAUCAAAUUAAUUUAUUAAUAUAUUUACUAAUCAAAUUAAUGUCGAAUAAAAAAAAACGAAAAUUCUUAUAUUGAAAUUUUAUAUAAUAAAUAUUAUUUUUAUAAAAUAUGUUUGAUGCAUUAGUAAAGUAUUUUUGGAAUUUUUAAUCAUAUAAAUUAAAUUUUAUUUCAAAUAAAAAUGGAUGCAAAAUACUGUAAAAUUCCAGUCUUUUUAUUAUCUUCUUAUUUUUCCUGUGUUACAGAUUUUGCUGUGUUACUUAAACUUAUAUCUCAAAUAAUUUGAUAAUAAAUAGUGGUACACAUAAAUUAUAUACAAAUAAAUAAUAGUGUUAAAAAACUUGAAAAUAUAAAAUUUAAAUUUUUAUAUAAUUUAUAAAUCCCAUUUACUAUUCAUUGCUGUUUCAUUAAUAAUAUUUUCUGAAUCGCUGUUCUGUUCGAUUUCGCUAUUCGAUAGAGAUUCAUUACUAAAGUCCUCUAUGUCUCCCUGCACCGUUUCUAAAUAUUGUGAGAUUUUAACUAUAUCCCGAACUGCAAGUGGUUGUUUGUAGUGCUCUCGAUGUACUUCAUCUGCAUAAAUGUGGCGAGAUUCGAAAUAUCAAUCAUUGAGAUUCAUUUGUAUACAAUGUGUUGCAAUAUGUUUCCUCAAUAUUUUACCUCGCAAACUAGUUGAAUGCAUUGCGUUACAUUUUUCUGGGAACCUGUGCAUUAGAACACAAGCUCUAAAAUAUCUAUAUCCAUUUUUAGUAAAACCAGGCAAUCCAAAAACGUACGGAUUAUUUUUUGGUACUUUAGCGUUUUCUCGAAACUUUAAGAUAAGUGUAAUACAUUGAAGUAAAUCAUUUGAGAG
Formica exsecta is the source of this 1846-nucleotide long non-coding RNA. RefSeq lists it as uncharacterized. The record is from RefSeq and is a predicted model, not a curated record. The transcript is spliced from 2 exons. Lineage: Eukaryota; Metazoa; Arthropoda; Insecta; Hymenoptera; Formicidae.